AAAGGAAUAGACGGGCACCCGCACAAGCGGUGGAGCAUGCCGUUUAAUUCGAAAAUACGCGAAAAACCUUACCUAGACUUGACAUCCCCGGCGAAGCUAUGGAAACAUAGUGGAGGUUAACCGGGUGACAGGUGGUGCAUGGUUGUCGUCAGCUCGUGUCGUGAGAUGUUUGGUUAAGUCCAAUAACGAGCGCAACCCUCGUCUUUAGUUGCUAACAUUUAGUUGAGAACUCUAAAGAUACUGCCAGGGUAACCUGGAGGAAGGUGGGGAUGACGUCAAAUCAUCAUGCCCCUUACGUCUAGGGCUACAGGCGUGCUACAAUGGCCAGUACAACGAGUCGCAACACAGCGAUGUGAAGCUAAUCUCUUAAAGCUGGUCCCAGUUCGGAUUGGAGUCUGCAACUCGACUCCAUGAAGUCGGAAUCGCUAGUAAUCCCAAAUCAGCAUGUUGGGGUGAAUACGUUCCCGGGUGUUGUACACACCGCCCGU
RNAcentral lists this ribosomal RNA (488 nucleotides) under uncultured bacterium. Its description in RNAcentral is "bacterial SSU rRNA". It matches the Rfam family "Bacterial small subunit ribosomal RNA", at positions 903 to 1397 of the family's 1533-position model. The record is from RNAcentral.